This is a long non-coding RNA of Musa acuminata subsp. malaccensis (wild Malaysian banana), 737 nucleotides long. RefSeq lists it as uncharacterized. The record is from RefSeq and is a predicted model, not a curated record. NCBI's taxonomy places the organism in Eukaryota, Viridiplantae, Streptophyta, Magnoliopsida, Zingiberales, Musaceae.
GUUGCAGAAAAAGUGUGUAUGAAUUGGCAUGAUAGUAUUGGAUGAAAACGAGAGCAGUUCUCAUGCUCCUCUGCUUCGUUGCCAGCGAAGUUUGUACCUCUAGUUGGCCCUCUCUUUCCUGCUUGUUCCUACCCUGCCGCUUUUUCCUCUCAUUCCUCUUCCUCCUCUUCUUCUCCAAGAACUGAACCACCGAGGGAUGCCUACCCGAGGAUAUGUUCUGAUCUUUGUCUUCUGGGCUCUGCUCACCAUCAUUACCCCGACUCUCGUCUCCUGGUCGGCGUCAGCAAAGCCAAAUCUUGUUGCUCCCGGAGAGACUUUGCUGGAGAUGAAGGUCAAUAGGAGAAUGAUGGGUUCCGUAGAGACCGCUGCCCAACUAAAGAACGGCACCAGGAAGACGAUAACACGAGCAACGGCGCCAUCGCCGGCUGCAGCUCCGGCACCAGCUCCUGCGGCAGGACAUGACGUGCUCAGCUAACGCUAACACUUCCAUGACGGCGGCGUCGAUUGACCUUUGAUUUUUCAGGUGAUAGGUAUUUAUAUAUAUACGAGCGAUUGGGGGGUAUCAUAAUAGUGUGGCAGAUCUUGUGAGUUCUGAUCACAAGAAAGAGUGGGUAGAUCACUCCUAAACCAUUUGCUAGAGAGGAUCUUCCCUUCCCCAGCAUUCGUGGUAAGAAUUUCUUGUAAAGAUCCACAUUACAUGAUUGUUGCCAGCGUUUGUUCGAUUCAACUUUCAUCUG